Molecule: long non-coding RNA, 292 nt
Organism: Vitis riparia (riverbank grape)
Lineage: Eukaryota; Viridiplantae; Streptophyta; Magnoliopsida; Vitales; Vitaceae
Exons: 3
Source: RefSeq, a predicted model, not a curated record
GGGACUGGUUAAAACAGCUAAGGAAUGAGGGAUCAGUGUGAUUGAAACAUAUGUGUUCUGGAAUGGCCAUGAACUUUCUCCAGGCAAUUAUUACUUUGGGGGAUGGUACGAUCUUCUCAAGUUUGUGAAGAUUGUUUAGCAGGAUGGGAUGUAUUUGAUUCUCCGUUUUGGUCCAUUUGUUGUAGCAGAAUGGAAUUUCGGUAUCACAUGCAGAAGUUCAUGACACUUGUAGUGAACAUAAUGAAGAAAGAGAAGCUUUUGCAUCUCAAGGAGGUCCUAUAAUCUUGGUGCA